AAUGGGAUGGCUGAUUUAGGUGAUAGAUUGUAAAUUUAUUUAAGGUUUUAAACCUCUCAUUAUUU
Molecule: transfer RNA, 65 nt
Filed under: Lycorma meliae
Lineage: Eukaryota; Metazoa; Arthropoda; Insecta; Hemiptera; Fulgoridae
Description: tRNA-Tyr
Source: RNAcentral